Molecule: ribosomal RNA, 500 nt
Filed under: uncultured sulfate-reducing bacterium
Lineage: Bacteria
Description: bacterial SSU rRNA
Rfam family: Bacterial small subunit ribosomal RNA
Source: RNAcentral
GGGCCUGCGUUUCAUUAGCUAGCUUGGUAGGGUAAUGGCCUACCAAGGCAACGAUGAGUAGCUGGUCUGAGAGGAUGAUCAGCCACACUGGAACUGAAACACGGUCCAGACUCCUACGGGAGGCAGCAGUGGGGAAUAUUGCGCAAUGGGCGAAAGCCUGACGCAGCAACGCCGUGUGAGGGAUGAAGGCUUUCGGGUCGUAAACCUCUGUCGGAAGGGAAGAACGGGCAUUGGUCUAAUAGGCCUUUGUUUUGACGGUACCUUUAGAGGAAGCACCGGCUAACUCCGUGCCAGCAGCCGCGGUAAUACGGAGGGUGCAAGCGUUAUUCGGAAUUACUGGGCGUAAAGCGCACGUAGGCCGCUUUGUAAGUCAGGGGUGAAAUCCCACGGCUCAACCGUGGAACUGCCCUCGAAACUGCAGAGCUUGAAUCCUGGAGAGGGUGGCGGAAUUCCUGGUGUAGGAGUGAAAUCCGUAGAUAUCAGGAGGAACACCGGUGGCG